ACUUUAAUAAUUUAAUAAAAUAUCGGUCUUGUAAACCGAAAAUGGGAAUUCCCUUAAAGUA
This 61-nucleotide transfer RNA is filed under the name Synalpheus microneptunus. Its description in RNAcentral is "tRNA-Thr". It matches the Rfam family "tRNA". Rfam says of the family: Transfer RNA (tRNA) molecules are approximately 80 nucleotides in length. Their secondary structure includes four short double-helical elements and three loops (D, anti-codon, and T loops). Further hydrogen bonds mediate the characteristic L-shaped molecular structure. tRNAs have two regions of fundamental functional importance: the anti-codon, which is responsible for specific mRNA codon recognition, and the 3' end, to which the tRNAs corresponding amino acid is attached (by aminoacyl-tRNA synthetases). tRNAs cope with the degeneracy of the genetic code in two manners: having more than one tRNA (with a specific anti-codon) for a particular amino acid; and 'wobble' base-pairing, i.e. permitting non-standard base-pairing at the 3rd anti-codon position. Lineage: Eukaryota; Metazoa; Arthropoda; Malacostraca; Decapoda; Alpheidae. The record is from RNAcentral.